Molecule: transfer RNA, 94 nt
Filed under: Actinomycetota bacterium
Lineage: Bacteria; Bacillati; Actinomycetota
Description: tRNA-Sec
Rfam family: Selenocysteine transfer RNA
Source: RNAcentral
GGAGGCGUCAGGGUUCCUGGUGGGCCCCUCGGUCUUCAAAACCGAUGAGACCAGCCUUGCUGGUCUGGCGGGUUCGAUUCCCGUCCGCCUCCGC